AGCGGAGGAAAAUAAACUAACAAGGAUUCCCCUAGUAACGGCGAGCGAAGCGGGAAGAGCUCAAAUUUGAAAGCUGGCGCCUUCGGCGUCCGCGUUGUAAUCUCGAGACGUGUUUUCCGUGCGGCGCUAUGGACAAGUCCCUUGGAACAGGGCAUCGUAGAGGGUGAAAAUCCCGUACUUGCCAUGGAUGUACCGUGCUUUGUGAUACACGCUCUAAGAGUCGAGUUGUUUGGGAUUGCAGCUCAAAAUGGGUGGUAGACUCCAUCUAAAGCUAAAUAUCGGGGAGAGACCGAUAGCGAACAAGUACCGUGAGGGAAAGAUGAAAAGCACUUUGGAAAGAGAGUUAAAAGUACGUGAAAUUGUCGAAAGGGAAGCGCUUGAAGUCAGCCAUGCUGCGCGGACUCAGCCCGGCUGAUGCCUGGUGUAUUUCCCAGCAGCAAGCCAGCAUGGAUUUGGGUCGCCGGAGAAGGGCACGAGGAAUGUGGCACUUCGUGUGUGUUAAGCCUCGUGCUGGAUACGGCGAGCUGGAUCCAGGAACGCAGUGUGCCUCUGGCGGGUCUUCGGACACCUUCACACUUAGGAUGCUGGCGUAAUGGCUUUAAGCGGCCCGUCUUGAAC
This 618-nucleotide ribosomal RNA is filed under the name Malassezia nana. Its description in RNAcentral is "eukaryotic LSU rRNA". It matches the Rfam family "Eukaryotic large subunit ribosomal RNA", at positions 49 to 659 of the family's 3401-position model. Lineage: Eukaryota; Fungi; Basidiomycota; Malasseziomycetes; Malasseziales; Malasseziaceae. The record is from RNAcentral.